Molecule: ribosomal RNA, 503 nt
Filed under: uncultured bacterium
Lineage: Bacteria
Description: bacterial SSU rRNA
Rfam family: Bacterial small subunit ribosomal RNA
Source: RNAcentral
AGAGUUUGAUCCUGGCUCAGAUUGAACGCUGGCGGCAGGGCCUAACACAUGCAAGUCGAGCGGCAGCGCGGGGUAACCUGGCGGCGAGCGGCGAACGGGUGAGUAAUACAUGGGAAUCUGCCUAGUAGUGGGGGAUAACUUCGGGAAACUGGAGGUAAUACCGCAUACGCCCUACGGGGGAAAGCAGGGGAUCUUCGGACCUUGCGCUAUUAGAUGAGCCUGCGUCCGAUUAGCUAGUUGGUGGGGUAAAGGCCUACCAAGGCGACGAUCGGUAACUGGUCUGAGAGGAUGAUCAGUCACACUGGAACUGAGACACGGUCCAGACUCCUACGGGAGGCAGCAGUGGGGAAUAUUGGACAAUGGGCGCAAGCCUGAUCCAGCCAUGCCGCGUGUGUGAAGAAGGCCUUCGGGUUGUAAAGCACUUUAAGCGGGGAGGAAGGCCUGAUGGCUAAUAUCCAUCAGGAUUGACGUUACCCGCAGAAUAAGCACCGGCAAACUUCGUG